GAUGAAGAACGUAGCGAAAUGCGAUACGUAGUGUUAAUUGCAGAAUUCAGUGAAUCAUCGAAUCUUUGAACGCACAUUGCACCUCUCGGUAUUCCGGGAGGUAUGCCUGUUCGAGCGUCAUUUGUACCCUCAAGCUCUGCUUGGUGUUGGGUGUUUGUUCCGCCUCUGUGUGUGAACUCGCCUCAAAACAAUUGGCAGCCGGCGUACUUGUUUCGGAGCGCAGCACAUUUUGCGAUCCAGAUCAACGUACAGCGGCAUCCAAGAAGCCUUAUUUAACGCUCUUGACCUCGGAUCAGGUAGGGAUACCCGCUGAACUUAAGCAUAUCAAUAAGCGGAGGA
RNAcentral lists this unclassified non-coding RNA (339 nucleotides) under soil metagenome. RNAcentral describes it as "partial contains 5.8S ribosomal RNA, internal transcribed spacer 2, and large subunit ribosomal RNA". The stretch from base 1 to 120 matches the Rfam family "5.8S ribosomal RNA", at positions 35 to 154 of the family's 154-position model. The record is from RNAcentral.